RNAcentral lists this ribosomal RNA (799 nucleotides) under uncultured bacterium. Its description in RNAcentral is "bacterial SSU rRNA". It matches the Rfam family "Bacterial small subunit ribosomal RNA", at positions 8 to 796 of the family's 1533-position model. The record is from RNAcentral.
AGAGUUUGAUCAUGGCUCAGGAUGAACGCUAGCGGCAGGCUUAAUACAUGCAAGUCGUGGGGCAGCAGGGCUGUAGCAAUACAGUCGCUGGCGACCGGCAAACGGGUGCGGAACACGUACACAACCUUCCUUUAAGUGGGGAAUAGCCCGGGGAAACCCGGAUUAAUACCCCGUAACAUAAUGAAGUGGCAUCACUUUAUUAUAAUAGCAGCAAUGCGCUUUGAGAUGGGUGUGCGACUGAUUAGGCAGUUGGCGGGGUAACGGCCCACCAAACCUACGAUCAGUAACUGGUGUGAGAGCACGACCAGUCACACGGGCACUGAGACACGGGCCCGACUCCUACGGGAGGCAGCAGUAAGGAAUAUUGGUCAAUGGACGCAAGUCUGAACCAGCCAUGCCGCGUGGAGGAUGAAGGUCCUCUGGAUUGUAAACUUCUUUUAUCUGGGAAGAAACCCACGAAUUCUUUUGUGGUUGACGGUACCAGAUGAAUAAGCACCGGCUAACUCCGUGCCAGCAGCCGCGGUAAUACGGAGGGUGCAAGCGUUAUCCGGAUUCACUGGGUUUAAAGGGUGCGUAGGUGGGUUGGUAAGUCAGUGGUGAAAUCUCCAGGCUUAACUUGGAAACUGCCAUUGAUACUAUCAAUCUUGAAUACCGUGGAGGUCAGCGGAAUAUGUCAUGUAGCGGUGAAAUGCUUAGAUAUGACAUAGAACACCAAUUGCGAAGGCAGCUGGCUACACGAAUAUUGACACUGAUGCACGAAAGCGUGGGGAUCAAACAGGAUUAGAUACCCUAGUAGUCC